GACGAACGCUGGCGGCAUGCCUAACACAUGCAAGUCGAGCGAGCAGACCCCUUCGGGGUGAAGCUAGCGGCGGACGGGUGAGUAACACGUGGGCAACCUACCUCAUAGAGGGGAAUAGCCUUCCGAAAGGAAGAUUAAUACCGCAUAAGAUUGUAGCUUCGCAUGAAGCAGCAAUUAAAGGAGCAAUCCGCUAUGGGAUGGGCCCGCGGCGCAUUAGCUAGUUGGUGAGGUAACGGCUCACCAAGGCGACGAUGCGUAGCCGACCUGAGAGGGUGAUCGGCCACAUUGGGACUGAGACACGGCCCAGACUCCUACGGGAGGCAGCAGUGGGGAAUAUUGCACAAUGGGGGAAACCCUGAUGCAGCAAUGCCGCGUGAGUGAUGACGGCCUUCGGGUUGUAAAGCUCUGUCUUCGGGGACGAUAAUGACGGUACCCGAGGAGGAAGCCACGGCUAACUACGUGCCAGCAGCCGCGGUAA
This 478-nucleotide ribosomal RNA is filed under the name uncultured bacterium. RNAcentral describes it as "partial 16S ribosomal RNA". It matches the Rfam family "Bacterial small subunit ribosomal RNA", at positions 28 to 523 of the family's 1533-position model. The record is from RNAcentral.